RNAcentral lists this ribosomal RNA (254 nucleotides) under uncultured bacterium. RNAcentral's name for it is "partial 16S ribosomal RNA". It matches the Rfam family "Bacterial small subunit ribosomal RNA", at positions 524 to 776 of the family's 1533-position model. The record is from RNAcentral.
UACGUAGGCCCCAAGCGUUAUCCGGAAUUACUGGGCGUAAAGUGCGCGUAGGCGGUUUUGUACGUCGGUCGUUAAAUCUUACAGCUUAACUGUGAGACCGCGAGCGAUACUACAAGAAUUGAGUGUUGCAGGGGCUAGCAGAAUUUCUGGAGUAGGGGUGAAAUCCGUUGAUACCAGAAGGAAUACCAAUGGCGAAGGCAGCUAGCUGGGCAAUAACUGACGCUGAGAGCGCGAAAGCGUGGGGAGCAAACGGG